This 253-nucleotide unclassified non-coding RNA is filed under the name uncultured Anaerolineae bacterium. Its description in RNAcentral is "contains 16S-23S intergenic spacer region". It matches the Rfam family "Bacterial small subunit ribosomal RNA", at positions 524 to 776 of the family's 1533-position model. The record is from RNAcentral. Lineage: Bacteria; Bacillati; Chloroflexota; Anaerolineae.
AACGUAGGUGGCGAGCGUUAUCCGGAUUUACUGGGCGUAAAGCGUGUGCAGGCGGGCGAGCAAGUGGUGUAUGAAAGCUCCAGGCUUAACCUGGAGAGGUUAUGCCAGACUGCGCGCCUUGAGGCAGAGAGAGGGACAUGGAAUUCCGGGUGUAGUGGUGAAAUGCGUAGAGAUCCGGAGGAACUCCAGAGGCGAAGGCGGUGUCCUGGCUCUGACCUGACGCUCAGACACGAAAGCAUGGGGAGCGAACGGG